Molecule: regulatory RNA element, 149 nt
Rfam family: speF leader
About the family: This family is a putative regulatory RNA structure that is found upstream of the speF gene encoding ornithine decarboxylase in Agrobacterium tumefaciens and other alpha-proteobacteria.
Source: Rfam
UUUCGGCUGUCCAAAAGUCGGAAUUACUGAAGAGGCACACCUCAUUGCCUUCCGUGCGGAUGCGGUUUUCGUUAUUCCAAUCAAAAGGCAGACAAAGCGGAGCAAUGCGUUAGCGCGCUGUUCCAUCGCCGCAAGUUUUAUCUAGUUUU